Lupinus albus (white lupine) is the source of this 428-nucleotide non-coding RNA. The record is from the annotation of a GenBank genome assembly. NCBI's taxonomy places the organism in Eukaryota, Viridiplantae, Streptophyta, Magnoliopsida, Fabales, Fabaceae.
AAAAAUGAUAAUGUCCUGUGAUAUCCAUGUCUGUCCAUGUCCAAGCUGAAAAAAUAUUUUUUUAAUUGGACAAGUAAGACACGCAUAUCAUACAUUUGUCAUCGUGUGUUUGACAUGGAGAAUCAAAAUGAUGUCUCCUUGCUUCAUAGUUAGAUUAGAUUAGAGUUGAUGAUAAUAAAGACUAAACUUACCACUUCAUUUGGUAAAAAACACUUUUGUUUGAAUACAGUGACUUCCUCAAUAUUUUCGAUGUUAAUUGGUUUAUCACUUAUCUCGCAAAAGAUAUUCCUAUUGUUAAAAGAGUUCCUGACAAGGUCAUGCGGUCAAUGGAGAAACCCCCAUAUACAAUGUGUGUCCCAAGGAAGUCAGAACCUGGAUAUUAUCUUGAUCAAGUUUUGCCAAUAUUCUUGAGGCGGCAGGUUUGAGCC